AGAAUCAACGCUGGCGGCGUGCCUAACACAUGCAAGUCGAACGAGAAAGGGUAGCAAUACCUGAGUAAAGUGGCGCACGGGUGAGUAACACGUGACUAACCUACCCUGGAGUGGGGGAUAACUGAGGGAAACCUUAGCUAAUACCGCAUAAUACCUACGGGUCAAAGGAGCAAUUCGCUUCAGGAGGGGGUCGCGGCCGAUUAGUUAGUUGGCGGGGUAAUGGCCCACCAAGACGAUGAUCGGUAUCCGGCCUGAGAGGGCGCACGGACACACUGGAACUGAAACACGGUCCAGACUCCUACGGGAGGCAGCAGUGGGGAAUUUUGCGCAAUGGGGGAACCCUGACGCAGCAACGCCGCGUGGAGGAUGAAGUCCUUCGGGACGUAAACUCCUUUCGAUCGGGACGAUUAUGACGGUACCGGAAGAAGAAGCCCCGGCUAACUUCGUGCCAGCAGCCGC
This 459-nucleotide ribosomal RNA is filed under the name uncultured bacterium. Its description in RNAcentral is "SSU rRNA". It matches the Rfam family "Bacterial small subunit ribosomal RNA", at positions 26 to 518 of the family's 1533-position model. The record is from RNAcentral.